AGAGCUUCUCGUAUUCGGAACUCGCCCGGGCAACCACCAACUUUGCGCCAGAACAAAAGCUAGGAAGAGGAGGAUUCGGAGACGUUUACAGAGGAACCUUAACCCAGCCGAAAAUGGUGGUAGCCAUCAAGAGAGUGGCAAAAGACUCGAGGCAGGGAAAGGAGUAUGUCGCCGAGGUGAAGGUCAUCAGCCGCGUGCGCCACCGCAACCUCGUGCAGCUCGUGGGGUGGUGCCACGAGAAGGGGGACCUGCUUCUCGUCUAUGAGUACAUGCCCAACGGCAGCCUCGACGCCCACCUCUACGGCGGCGGUAGUCCUCUGUCGUGGCCGACGAGGUACAGCAUCGCUCGGGGUGUCGCGGCGGCGCUGCUUUACCUCCACGAAGAGUCGGAGCAGUGCGUGGUGCACAGGGACGUCAAGUCGAGCAAUGUGAUGCUGGACACCAAUUUCAACGCCAAGUUAGGGGAUUUCGGCCUUGCGAGGCUCGUGGACCACGGCGGCGGCAUGGAGACGACGGCCGUGGCUGGGACGAUGGGGUACCUGGCGCCGGAAACCGCGACGACGGGUAGGGCGAGCAAGGAGUCGGACGUCUACAGCUUCGGGGUGCUGGCCUUGGAGAUCGCCUGCGGGAGGAGACCCAUCGAUUACGGCAAUAAAGAGGAUCGGGUUAGUCUCGUUGACUGGGUUUGGGAUCUCUACGGGAAGGGCGCCGUUUUGGAGGGGGCGGACGAGAAGCUGGGCUCGGACUACAACCGGCAGGAGAUGGAGCGGCUGAUGGUGGUGGGGCUGUGCUGCGCCCACCCGGACCACCUGCAACGGCCGUCGAUGCGGCAGGUGAUUGGCAUUCUUCUUUUCGAAAUGCCAUUGCCAAAUCUUCCGGUCCAGAUGCCGGAGCCGUCCUACGGAGGGGUUUCCGUUUCUAGGUCCAACCUGGCCACCAUCAACGGGUGGUCGUCGCCUCCGUCGAUUCAGCUGGCUUCCACUGACAGCAAACCACUUCCGUAUCCGCCCGUCAGGUAAAGCCAUCAGAUUCAACGUUUUCGUUUUAUUCUUCGAUUUACUCUUGGCUUGUCUUUUUAGGCGGUCGUCGCAUUAACGGGUCCAGCGACUGGGCUGACCAUUUCUCACCAAAACGGCCGUCGACCGACAGAUCUCAGUGCACGCUCCAACUCUCCCAUUAACAACCACUCGGUCCUUAGAGGUGUUAAUAAGUAGAACCUCUCUUCUCUACUUCAGUGUACUAUUUGACAGUUGUGAAGAGAAGUUCAACGUAGAUAUCUAAGGGCCUAAUCGAAGUUUUGAAGGCCAUGAUUAGAUAUCUAUUUUCUGAGUUCUUGAUGAGAGUUUUCUUGUGAUCUUAUCAUAUCUAACUAAAGCUUUCGUCAUUGUUUUUCGUAGACAAAAGAAGAGGUAUAUGGAACCAUGUUAAAGUGUUUUAUGCUAGUACCCUAUUAUGAGUUGAUCACAUCAUGUAGAUUGCAUAAACAAUAUUUUGCUAGUACCCUACUAUGGGUUUUGUUCACCUAUUUUUUUUGCUUUAUUUCAUUACUCCUAGGUGAGUUCAUGACUCCUCCACACCUUUCACUAGAACAUGGACCAGAUCUGCAUAAUCGACUAAGAGAGGAGAUCAAUUCAACCUGUCUAAGUUUAUCUUUUCUUUCAUAUCAGCUUUUAGGUGGCUGUGACUCCCAACUCUCUCUAGUGUAAGAGGAUUCCUCUCGUUUACCCUUAAAAUUCACAGGCAACACUACUGCGGAUUUGAGUUUGGCAAGAAGUGAACUCGAUGAGCUCCAAAAGAGUAAAAGGAAAAUAUGUUGUAAGUAGGGAGAAAGUACGUCCAGAUAUGGAGGAGAAGAGGGCUGGAAUAGAGGAUGGACGGGAGUUCGUGGAACAAAAUAAGCCCUCAAAAUCAAAUUUCUUGAGUUGUUUACAACCAAAUAGAGAGGGUUUUAUCUGAAGGUAGAGAACUUAAUUCAAAAUUGAUUAAAAACAAAAAAAAGAAGGAAGAGACUAAAACUCAUGAUUUCUAGAUAUUAAUAUGCAUACUCAACUAUAAACUCAUGAGAUGCAGUUAGGAAUCUAACUUAAUGUUUUCCUUCAAACUAGUUACAUUGAUAUUGAUGAUAUUUCUCAAUUGUUGUCCUUACAUGGCAUCUAAAGAUGCUGCAUUAACAUGAAGCCGUACCUAGGUCAAUACAUACAUUUUAACAAUAUGGGAAUUUUUUUUAUUAAAGUCAAUACCUUUCUCUUUGCAUAAACCUUUCACAACUAAUUUAGUCUUGUACUUUAGAUGUAAAGGUUAUCAUUGAGUCUUCAGCUUGAAAGUUCAUUUGUUCUCUAUGGCUUUCAUCCCCUUUGAUAGUUAUACUAGAUCAUGUAUGUGGUUUUUCUACAAUGCCUCCAUUUCUUCACACAUUGCUACUAGCCACUUAAUUUUAAGCUCAAUUUCAACUACCUUUCGGUAACUAUCUAGUUCGCCUACAUCAGUAAGUAUAAUAUAUUUACCUAGAGGAUGAAUUUUAGAAGGUUUUAUAUGAUCCAAGAAAAAUUAUAGAUGAGUCUUCAUGGGAGAAUGUUCCUUCACUUCUCCAUGCUCAUCAUGUUGAUAGACUCCUAAGUACCCAAGUCCCUUGUCGCCAGAAACGGAGCAAAAGAAAGGAACGGAUUGCCAGAGCGGAAGACCAGCGCCCAACAUGAGUAAGUUUUGGGCCAGAAAUGAUGGGCCCAGAUGGAGGGCUUGGGCUGGUUAAGGCCUGACCAGUCAACAGCCAACUGUCACAGCGACAGUUUAAAUACUAGAGCAAGAGAUCGAGCGGGAGGAGAGAAAAAUCAAGAUUCUUCUACCCCAUCUGCCUCGACGUUUCACUCUGUCUGUCUGUCUGUCUGUCUCUCUCUCUCUCUCUCUCUCCCUCUCUCUCUCUCUGUUUCGCUCUCUAUUUCUCUCUCUCUUUCUUUCGUCAUGAUCUCGGCUAGAUCUGCUGUUCAUCAACAUCCUUGCUGCCUGAUCCUUUACCUCCUUCUGCAUUGUCUUUCCGGAGUUCGGAAAUGAUUGCUCUCGAGAUCAGGAACUAGUAAUUCUUGCAUUUCAAGAAAUUGAGAAAGGUGAUUGCGUACGUAAUACUUCUUCUUGUUCUCUGAAAUUCUUGUGUCUAAAAUCUUAAUAUCUUAUUUUGAGUAAAUUUCUUGAUAUCCUUCUGUUCUAUCUUUGAAUCAUUGGUUGAACUUCAACCGUUCCCUCCAAAUUUAUAUUGAUUGUGAGGAAUAUAAAAAAAGGAGAUCCUAUCACAUGUCUUAUAGGCAAGUUUGCAUCAAUUUCACUUAUAUCAUGUCCAUAGUAUUAGAAAGGCAGCAGCUGGAUGACGGGCAGCGGUGGAAAUAGUCGGACGGAAGAAGUGGUGGCAGAUGGAUAUUGGCCCUCAGGACCUCUCCUUCGGAGCGAAGAUGGUUGACCCUCACGGCCUCUCCCUCAUGGAGCAGACACAAGUAGUUCCUCAGAAUAAUCUCUUAUCUGGAGAUGGUCGCAAGACCUCGCCGCUCCUAGUUAGAAGCUCCACCUUUGUCUCUAUCUGGUCGUUGUCGCCAUCUGUCGUCGCCUCCACCACUGCCUUCGCUGCCACCGCCAUCUUCCUCGUCUUCUGCCGUCGUCUUCUUCCUCGUCGUCCACCACCAUAGGGGCGCGAGACAACUCUCUCUAAGGAGCUCGGCAAAAUAGCCCCGUAACUUCGGGAGAAGGGGUGCCUCCUCACAAAGGGGGUUGCAGCGACCAGGCCUGGGCGACUGCCGCCACUAUUUUGUAUAUGUCCGCUUCGGCCUCCGACACUCUUGGUCCGCCACUAUCUCUACCUUCAUUGCCGUCGCCUCCAUCCCGUCGCCGACCACCUCAUCGCCGCCGCCGGCUGUCCAAGAUCAACCCCAUUCUGUCGUCGCCGCCACCAUCCCUUCCCGCUUCUUCCACUGCCAUUGUCGCCCUUCCCAACCUUUGUUCCUCUGGUGAUCUGUUCCGCCGGUUUCUUUCCCAAUUAGGGCUUAAAGGCCCCGAUUCGUGGGUCCCAAUCUACUGGUUGAACUCGUUCGGUGAUCUCGACCAGGCCACCCUCCGAUGCGAGCCCCAUUGGUCUGAACGAACCCGCCACAGGUUCGAGCCAACGUGGACAAUUGGGUCCACGUCGUUCUCCCGCGCCAGGCCGAGCCAUUCUGACCAUCUGGUCCACGUCGGGCAUCCCGUCCAGCUGGAGCCAAGACUCAAUCAAAUUUCUACGACAUAGUGAAUGAUCAAUUAUCUAGGCAACGGUCAACAGCGUGGUCAAAAGUCAACUAUUAAUAUUCUGCAACCAAUAGUCUCUCUUCUCAGUCCUUUCCAAGGUAAGUAGUUCUCACGCAUCAUAUAUCUCUGCUCAUUUAAUAUAUUCUUAUUGCGAUUGUCCGAGGGUGACUAUAGUGUAACCAUAUGUUUCUGAGUUUAAUGAGCAUAGUAUAACGACUGGUGACUUUUCUGAGCUACCCGAUCACGGCUGUCCUUGUAGAAACACAGCCGUCACGAGGGCCCUCGGCCGUCAACCUUGUGGGAAGAAAUGUACCCGUCAGACCUCAGCUUUCCUCCUGCCCGUGGACAGCGUAGAGGUCAACGUGGACAGGCCACAUGCACUGAAUGCAAUUAAACGUGUUUAAACAUUGUACCCCGUCAGUCUUCAUUUUUGUAAAGAUUUCAAGGAUCUUCCAUGGAAAAUCUAAAAGCUCAACGAAUUAUCUUUGAUGCGAAGUGGAAGUGAAAAGGAUCGAGUAGUUUAAGAAAACCAUUUGAUGUAGAAUGCUCAACGAUUUUAUAGUUCAGAAAAUGUUUAAUACCACAGUUUAACAAUACACUGAAUAUGUAAAGUGGCUAUCGUAUGAUCUCUCAACCCACUAUAACAAGAAAGUAUAUUAAAUGAACAAAUGAAAUAGAGAAAUAAGAAGAUAUACUUGAACAUUGAAAAUAACGGUUGACCAUUGACCAAUAUAUUUGACCUUUUAUCUGUUUACCGAUGACUUGUCCUUGUUGACGGUUGACUGUGGAUGACCAAUCAGCUGCAGCGGCUCACAGCUAAGGGGUGGACCUGACUUGGUCCCAGUGGCUGGAUGGCUUUCGCCAGACGGUUUGGAUCGCGGCUGGCUAAAAGGUGUAAGUGUUGGUGGGCGGCUGGAAAUGGGCCAGGUAAAAUCAAGCCCUAGCCGUAAGAGGAGGGGCCAUCAGGAGGCGGCGGGAGAGGGGAAAGAGGGGUCGGUGGCGACGGCAGGCGGAGGCUGCAGCCGGUGGCGAGGGGAUGGCAGGCAGCGGCGGGCGGCGGAAAGGUGAGAGCUGGCGGCAAGGCCAUGGCUGGUAGCGGCAGGCGGUGGCAGGCGUCGGGAAGACGACGGCUGGCGGUGGCGGGAGGUAAUGGCGGCGAGCAGUGGCCGGCAGCGACGGGCGGAGGAUGAUGCGACUGGAAGGUGGUGGCGAUGCAGGCCGCGGCGGUACAAUGGCGAUAGAAGAAAGGGAAGGUGGGGGAGGGAAUGGUGCUCCAGACCAAGAGUGGCGGGGUCCUCUGACCAACCCAAGCCGGGGUGACGGGAUCUUACGAUCAGUUAAGAUAAGGAACUAAUCCUCAAAACUCCAUUUUUAAUUCUCCUUAAAUCAAAGGUCUGAAGGCCGAUUUAUAAGCCUUUCUACAGUGAAAUCUUAGUCAGUCAAUAAUGAAGGAAAUCUUCUAUUGCAAGGCAUUUGUUUUGAUGGCUUAAUCGGCGCGUAGCCGGAUCAAGGGCGUCGUCCACACCUUCUAUGUUGGUCAUUCCCCCAAUUUGAUUCAAAUCACCUUCCUUGAUCAAGAGAUGGUUUGGGCGCGCUGCAUCAAUCCCCCACCGCAAAAAGCGGUCCUCGUGGCCACGGCAGGGUUGGUUGGUGAUCCUCACCGUCCUUCCGGGAAAAGACCUCGCGACUUACCCCUUGUCCCCUUCGAGGACGAUGGAACCUUCGUGUGGCGGCUCCGGUAGGUCAACUUGGGGCUGGAUGGUCGCCGCCUUUCUUGAAAGCCUCACCGGAACACGCGUAGACCGAAGCGAUUAUCGCUUCAUUAUUUAGGGGCGCCGCCACCCACUCGCCCAUCAGGAGGAGCGCUCGAAUUUAAUAAACGAGCGGUUACUGUCACGAUAACAAGGCCGAGAACUUACAAAAUGUUUCAUAGCCAGAGUGCCGUGACGGCUUUCGCACCUUACAGCGGCCUUGUGGAGGCCCCAACCCACCUCCACGGAAAUCAUCGUUGAGCCAUGCCGCCGGGCGCCUCCAUCGCCUCUUUGCUCCUCCUGCUCGCCUUCGUCCUCGAGGCGCGAGGGGAGACGGUGACCACCUCUUUCAACUUCCCCAGUUUCGAUUCCAGCCCCACAGACAUCACCUUCCUGGCCGAUGCCUCAUCCGCCAACGGAUCCCUAGAGCUCAACUUGAACGCCGGAUACAGCCUCGGCCGAGCCAUCUACUCGAAACCAAUCCGCCUCUGGGACAACGAAACCAAGAGUCUUGCAAGCUUCACCACAAACUUCUCUUUCUCCGUGAUCCGGCGUCCGAACACGACGGAUAACGGCGAUGGGUUAGCCUUCUUCCUCGCCCCCGUCGGCUACCCUAUUCCGGAGAACAGCACGGGUGGUUCAUUCACGCUCUUCAACCGCUCAUGUGUAGACCAACCCGCAAAGGUCCCCGUAGUAGCCGUCGAGUUCGACACCUUCCAAAACAGAGGAGAAGACGCGGCCCCCCAUGUGGGGAUCGACCUCGGCUGCUACAAGUCGAUUAGGAGCUCGAUUUGGGAGUCGCUCGAGGGUCAGACCAGUGUCACGAUCGACGCAGUGAUCACCUAUGAUGCAGGCACCACCACGCUGACAGCCUUCUUCUCCGGCAGGAGCGGCUACAUCAGGACCCUACCUUACGUCGUCGACCUGAGAAACGAGCUUCCCGAAAGGGUUGACAUUGGUUUCGCUGGCGCCACUGGUGAUUUCUUCGAACGCCAUGUGAUACAUUCCUGGAGCUUCAAUUCGAGCCUGGAUGUCGCCGUCCGUAACGGCAACACUACAAACGGAGGCGACGCGGGAGGGGGCGGCAUCAACGCUCCUCCGGACCCCCCUCCGAGCAAGAAGAAAAGCAGCAUCGGCCUACUGGCUGGUGUGCUUGCUGGCGCGGGAACCUUGGCAAUCGCAGCGGGUUUGGCACUCUUCUUCGUCCGGCGAAGAAGGGCAUAUGCCAAGAAUGGAGGACAGGACGACGUCAUCAACGACAGCGAACUUGACGAAGGCAAGGGGCCCAAGACCUUCUCUUAUUCGGAACUCGCCCGGGCAACAAGCAACUUUGCGCCAGAACAAAAGCUAGGAAGAGGAGGAUUCGGAGACGUUUACAGAGGAACCUUAACCCAGCCGAAAAUGGUGGUGGCCAUCAAAAGAGUGGCAAAAGACUCGAGGCAGGGAAAGAAGGAGUAUGUCGCCGAGGUGAAGGUCAUCAGCCGCGUGCGCCACCGCAACCUCGUGCAGCUCGUGGGGUGGUGCCACGAGAAGGGGGAGCUGCUUCUCGUCUAUGAGUACAUGCCCAACGGCAGCCUCGACGCCCGCCUCUACGGCGGUGGCAAUCCGCUGCCGUGGCCGACGAGGUACAGCAUCGCCCGGGGGGUCGCGGCGGCGCUGCUUUACCUCCACGACGAGUCGGAACAGUGCGUCGUCCACAGGGACGUCAAGUCGGACAAUGUGAUGCUGGACGCCAAUUUCAACGCCAAGUUAGGGGAUUUCGGCCUUGCGAGGCUCGUGGACCACGGCGGCGGCAUGGAGACGACGGCCGUGGCUGGGACGAUGGGGUACCUGGCGCCGGAGACCGCGACGACGGGGAGGGCGAGCAAGGAGUCGGACAUCUACAGCUUCGGGGUGCUGGCCUUGGAGAUCGCCUGCGGGAGGAGACCCAUCGAUCACGGCAAUAAAGAGGGACGAGUUAGUCUCGUCGACUGGGUGUGGGAUCUCUACGGGAAGGGCGCCGUUGUGGAGGGGGCGGACGAGAGGCUGGGCUCGGACUUCGACCGGCAGGAGAUGGAGCGGCUGAUGGUGGCGGGCCUGUGCUGCGCGCACCCGGACCACCGGCAACGGCCGUCGAUGCGGCAGGUGAUCGGCAUUCUCCUCUUCGAGAUGCCGUUGCCUGAUCUUCCGUCCGAGAUGCCGGACCCGUCCUACGGAGCGUUUUCGGUUUCAGGGUUCAAGUUGACCAGCAACAACGGGUGGUCAUCGUCUACGUCCGCGACCUCCGCUGGAUUCACCAACGGCGCCUCCGUCGAUUCAGCGGGGUCCGCCGUCUCCAAACGACUUCUGUUUCCGUCCGGCAGUUGAAUCAGUCGAAUUCAACUCUUUCGUUUUGUUUGUCUUUCACUCAGGAGUUGAGUACAGCGAGAGAGCGAGAUAUUUCUGUGUUAUUUGCACUUUCUUCCCAACUGUUCUUGCUGUAAAAAUCCCUGUAACCAAGGUUUCGAUCCUUGGAGCUUAGCUCCCUCGUCCUACUCAGUUGACGGUGGAUUCUCGCGGACCCAUUACCACGAUGUAUCCCGGCAUUUUCGUGAGGAUCCUGAAUAGAUCUGAUAGGAAGGAAAGGAUAGGUUCGGCCUCCGACGUCUGUCUAUGGCAUUCCUCCCACGGGGGCGGCACGUCACCCACCGCACCACGACGACCAUUCACGAGAACGCCGAUGGUCAGGCCAGGCGUCUGUUCACAUCUUUUGUCUACUCUGUUUCAUGGGUCCUGGGUGACUUCUUCACGUGUUCCCACCUUCCCUCGGACGCGGACGAAAUCCGGAGAAUCAGCUUGGACAUGAGAUCGAUUCAGCCCGUCCUAGUUUAUCUUCCCUUAAAGACGGUGUUUUACGUGGGUACUACUCCAUUGCUCUCCUGUCGGCGUAACAGGACUGCUCCUUACGCCAUCACCUCCCCCCCCCAAUUGGUAGCUCGCAAAUCGCAUACAACACCAGCAUCACUGGAGAUCCGAGUUCGAGUGCUGAGGGGACGCCACAGCUGGAUACCAUUCAUCCAGGGACCCAUCGUCCCUCCGGGGCUCCCCUUACUUUCCGGCCCUUGCCCAUCUCGCUAAGAAGCCACAGGCAGCUGGCCGGAUGGAAACUAGUGAAGCUGGUGAGAGCUGGCAUCUCAGCCAAUUGUUCCCCCGUCUGACUUCUGACUCGGUCCAUGCAUUACUUCGUCAUAAAGGUGUGCGAGAAUCGGGCCACAACCGGUCCUUUUCGCAUGUCGCGUCCUCUCUCUCUCCUCGGCAUGAAACGCCUCGUCAUCCUCCACCCAGCCGAUUCCCAACAACCUUUCCCUUCCAACAAUCUUUCACUUCAUCUCAUAAUAGAGAUCUUAAAUGAAAUGUCUGGUUAUUGUAUAAAUAGAUAAUAACUGCAUCAGGGAACUGUGACUUGUGACUGUACUAAAUUUCAUGUUUAUUCUUCAAAAAUUUCUCCAAGAGUUCAUUCGAAAUCACAUGUAUAUAUUUCAAAAUUCUUCUCUCUAAUCACUUUGAAAACCGAAUUAUAUAUUUCACUUUUUUUCACUAUUUAUUUAAAAACUCAAAAUAUUUUUUUAUUAAUUAAAAUACAAUUUUUAAAAUAUGAAAUCAUUUUAAAAAUAAAAUAAAUAUUAAUAUUCAUGAAAAAUUAUUCAUACUCGAUGUUUGACUUAAGACUCAUUUAUUCAUCCCCGAGACAAGUACCAUCAAAGAUUAACCAUAAAAAGUGAUUAAUAGUGGGUAUAAAAAGAAGAGCCAGUGAAAAGAAAAGAAUAUAGAAGUAGAUACAAGAGAUUGACCAUCUCAUAAUGAGUCCUUAUCUAGAAUAAUUUUACCAUCUCGUUGUCAACCACCCACCACUUUCAUUCCCUUGUUUUCAUUUUCUAUUCCAUUUGACUUAUGUCAGGUCUUCAAACUAUGUACCCUUCAAAGGAUUUUUAGGCCCUUAGUGAAAUAUUUUCCUAUGAAAAGUGAGUCACCUUUCUUCCACGUCUUGAGGCUGAUGAUAGACUAAAUGAUUGAAUGUUCAUAUGCAUGAGUGAAAGAUGAAGAUAAAGAGAUGAAGGAGGUGGAACAAUGUGGAUAAGAGAGACGAGGUAAGUGGUGAGUUUUGUUUUCUCAUAUUUGAAAGAUCUAAAACUAGAAAUCAAAUGAUUUGUAGAACAUGCUCUCAAAACAUAAUCUAUCUCUAAUUUUGAACUAAAAUAUAACCCUAGAUGAACGAGAAUUUUAACCACCAUGAAACUAACCUGACAUCAUCACUUCUUAUUCUAUAUUUCCACCAAGAGGCAUUCACUUGUAGUAGUGGGAGAGGCCUCAUUUAGGCAAGAUAAGCUUCCAUUCCUGUUGUAAUACACCUACACACAUGCAAAGUGAAGCCCUAGAAAACCUUUCCCCUCUAAGUAGGAACAAUGACCAUGGUUUUAUGUCAAUAUAUAAAGCAUUACCCUCACUCUCUCUCCUCUCUUCAUGUGAGAGAAACCACCAAAAGUUUCUCAUGCCUUCACACCUUUCUAAACAAUUACACACCAUUAGAUCAAUGGGUCUCCUCUCUCUAGUGUCUUCUACCAUUUGAUGGUUGGUUUCUUCAUCUAGUCACUUUUCUCUAUUAGAUUGAUGAACCCUUCUUUUGCCAUUAGUGCCUUUCUUAGCCAUUGGAUCCCUCUUGCCACUAAGGUCACUUGUUGUACACAAUGGCUAGAUUCCAACCACAUAUGGGAUGCCCUAGACUUGAGUAAUAAAUCAUUAAAAAUAUCUAGAGGAUAGUUAAUAAAAUAUUGAAACAUAAUGUCCAUUAUGGUUCUAUAUAAUGUCACAUCAAACAUAUAUGAAAGAAUAAUCCAAGAAAAUUCAAGAAAAUACUGGAAACAUUAAUAUACCUCUAAACAUAUUAAAAUCACACCAUUCACACCAUUGAGGUGAGGAAUUAAUAAAGAGAAUCCUAAAAAAUGUUAAACUAUAGAAGAUAAUGUGUGUUUCUAACCUACUAUUCAUGUUACUAGGGGUUCAUCAAAUGGAAUUAGAGCCACACAUCAAAUGUUGAAGAUGAUAGAACCUAAGGUAAACCUCCUUGAGAGAAGCUUGGAGAAAGUUCAUGAGGUCAAUACAACCCUCUAGCAAAACGCCAUGAUGCUCCUAAUGAAAGUCUCUUCCCUCUGUGAGGAGACCAGGGGACUUCGUCAACAACUAGAUCACAUUAUUUGAACACUAGACAACCUACAAAGUUGGGAGGAGCUUCAACAACUUCUUGAAUGAUUCAACACCACUCAAUCAAGCUUUCUUUGUCAUAAUUUCCUAAGCAUCAACUAGAAAGCCUUUAUUAUGGAAUACCAAGAGGAGUUCAAAAUGAUGGCUGGCAUAUUGGGUCACUUACCCAAACAUAUUUUUGAAAAUAUAAUCCUAAAAGGGUUACAUAAUGAAAACUAAGUGGAAGUCACACUUUUAGAACAAAUUGGGCAUAAAAAGUUGAAGCUAAAUGUCAUAGUAAUAAGAUCUUAUUAAAGUAGAAGAAAUCUCCACAAUUUCACUAUUGAAGCUCCUAACUAUUCCCUUCAACAUUACUUAAUUCUUGAACAAGACCCUCAAAGGAUAAUGAUCAACGAAGGACAAAGAUCUAACCUUACUAUAGGUGGCUCACAUGUCAAGGAAUGCUAGUGAAUACAUCUCACUAUAGUACAAAUUCAAUCCUAAUGAGCUCAGGGACUCUACUUCUCAUGUAACGAUAAGUUCUUUCUAGAACAUCUCUACUACUAAGAACAAUAGGUGUUGGUCAUCCAAGAAGGAUUUAUCUUUGAUAAUAGGGCCAGACUCCAAAAGACUACACGACAUCGUGGGAAGAUCGAGUAAUCGACACUAUGAAAAUCAAUAUAGUAAUUUUCACAUUUGACCUUGUAGACAAGAUAUGAUUCAAAGGGGAGAAUAUUGAUGAGACACUAGUUGAUCAAAGACAUCCCUAGAGGCUUAACAAAUGCCUCAACUACUUUACCAAUAGAGAUGUCAGCAAAGAUUAACUAGAGAUAUCCUCAAGAUAAGUGCCACUAGAGAUUAACCAUUGAAAUUGAUUAGCAAUAGUUAUGGUAAGAGGAGGAAGGUGAAGAAAAGAUUAGAGGAGUAAUAAUAAGAGAUUGAUCAUCUUGUAAUGAGUCCUUAUCAAGAAUAGUUCUACAAUCUUAUUGUUGAGUACAACCCCUUCCAUUCUCCUAUUUUCAUUUUCUCUUCCCUUUAACUUUUAUUAGGUCUCUAUAUCAUGUACCUUUCAAGGGAUUUCUAGGCCUCUAGUGAAGUAUUUUUCUCCAAAAUAAUGAGUCCCCUUCUUUUCAUAUAUGGGGGCCCAUUAUGACUAUAAAGGGAGGGGCUUCUAAAGGGCUAGACAUGAGGAAGAACAAAGUAUUACUGUUGAAAGAGGAGAGAGACCUUGGAAAAUGAAUUAAUCAAGGAGAGAGAGCAUACACAAUGUUUAUAGAGAGAGAGAGAGAGGAGAGAGAAUGGAUAAUGGGCCCUUAAUGGGCCAGGUGAGCUAUAUAACAAUUACUAUGCUCACAAAUUGCAUAUAGCACUUGCACCACUAGAGAUAUGAGUUCAGUGCUAAUGGUUUGUCCAUUAGUAUAAAAGUACCUCACAAGUUUAUGCUUCCACCAAUUUACACCUCACCUCAAAAAUUAAAAAAAAAUUCGUCACAACGAUACAUGGUUACCUUAUGACAUGUGUUACCAAGGUCAACCUUCAAGCACAAACCUUAAUAGUAACUAUGUGUCAUGGUCCACGAUGAUGUAUGACCCAAUAAUUGAAUAGUUAAUCUCAUACAAAAAUGAGAAUUAACUAUCAUAGGGAACAUGUAUAUAAUAGGAUACCCCAACCCUUUACACUGAAUACCUUGAAAGUUAAGUUUAUCUUUAUUGAUUACGGAUAACCUCUCUUGAUCACAUUUGGCCCACUUAGGUAAGAAAAAUAGCAUAGGCCAAUGAAUUAUUUGAAGCUAUACAAAUCUUUGUUACAUUCAUAUUAGAGCAAAGUUAGAUCCCCUUGCUUCUUUCCUUAUUUUUUUCUAUUGGUAGAAAGAUAUAGAUGUAGAAAAAAGUUGGGUGGAUAUGAGUGGUGCCCAUGAGUAAAGGUUCGCCCAUUUAGAUGAGUAGUUUGGAGGUGACAGUUGCGACUAUAGAAUCCUUCACUAGUAAGAUGUAGGCGGGGUGAAUCCCUAUAGAGAGAGAAUGCGGACAAUUCAAAAGAAGAAUGGAUCUAGGUAGUAACAACACUUAUUGAAGCCUUGUUUAACCAAAUAGAUGAGGACAUAAAAAAUAGAGACAUAAAAAAAAGAGAUAAAAAAUAAUGAUAUAUUUUUGCCUAAAAAAGAGAGAUCCUCCCUUCAUAAAAGAAAUCAUGAGGAAAUUAGAUCAAGUUUAAAAUUAGUUGGAGGCCAACUUUCAAAAAGUAGUGGGAGACCUCCAUAAGAAGGUUGUAGGUAGUGGGAGACUAUAAAAGCCUUACAAUUGAGCCCAAAUUUUAUGGUCAAAAGAGGGAUAUCAUAAUAAUUAGUAAUCUUUUAUGAGAUCUACAAUAGUAUUUGAAUGUUAACGCAUCUUUGAAAGAAGAGAAAAUUUUCCUAAGUAGUCUUUAUUAGUUAGGACAUGCUAAGACAUAAUAGUGACUAAGGAUGGAAGAUAACUCACAACUAGUAGUAGCAUAGUGAGAGUACUUUGCCAAGAAAAUGUGAGGGCAAUUUCAUAUAAUGAAUUGUGAAAAAUCCAUCAAAAUUAUCAUGAGAUAAUUAAAAUAUAUCAAAUUUAUCUGUGAGUAUGUUGAAAAGAUUGUCAUGAACAUAUGUAGUAGCUUGUGAUAGAUUUUUGAUCUCCUUUAUCCAAAAUAUCCAUAGUCGAAAUAGGCCUCAAUUUACAAACGACCAUGACAUGUGUAAAGGAGCCCCUUCUUCAAAGCUUAUUUGAUGUAUGCAAGUACUCAUAAAGCGCCCUUUCAAUGUACCUUGUGUGACUCCUACAUAAAUUGGUUAAGGACACUAAAAACAUCAAACUAUGUAAGGAUGAGUAACUAUCAAGUAGAUUAGUUUCCCUAAUAAACGUUGAUGUAUGUUAGUGUCUUCUACUAGAAGGGAAUUGUUCUAAAGCUUUGGCUGAUAUUCUAUUGAUGAAGAUUCUACUUUACACCCUAGUAAUUAUGUUUCUUAAAGGAGAUCUAAGGCAUACUUUUGUUGAGAAAGAGCUAGUUAUCUCGAUUGAUAGGCAAACUCAAAUCCAAAGAAGUAGUACAAGGCUUAAAGAUCAUUCAUCACAAAGUGCUAAUGUAACUACUCUUUUGUAGUAGAGAUGUCUACCUCAUCACUGUUUGUUAAAAGUAUAUCAUUAACAUAAACACCAAAACUACAAAAGUCCUCAAAAAUGGUCUUCCACAUCACAAUAAAAUCAACAACAUAUGGAGUGAAGCUAUAGGCAAUAAGGAGCUAGUUGAAUUUCACAUACUAAACUCAGAGACUCUAUUUGAGCCCAUAUAUGGCUCAUCGGAGCAAGCAUACUUGAGAAGUCUCCCUUUUAAUAACAUACCUUAGAGGUUGUUCCAUAAACACAUGUUCAUAUAAGUUGUCAUACAUGAAGACAUUAAAGAUAUUCAGUUGGUGUAAGGACUAACCCUAAUUAACUAUCUGAGAGAUAAGUACUCGAAUGGAGUUGAGACGAACCACUAAAGAGAAAGUUUUCAUAUAAUUGAUGUCAUAUGUUUAAGUGAAACCUCAAGCUAUUAACCGAGCAAAAGUGAUGAGCCAUUAUACCAUCAAGAUUAUAUUUAAGGUUGAAAACCCAUUUGCACAUCACAUGUUAGUAUUAGUUCGACGUAGUACAAGUUAUCAAGUACCACAUGUUAUUAAGGCACGAUACACAAGAUCUAUGGUCACUUUUCACUCAUGUACCUAAAGAGCUUCAAGAUACAUCUUGAGAAGUGACUUAGAAGAAAUAAAGAGGGCAAAAACAUAAAAGGUAGGGUGAAGGCAGUCAUAAGAGACAAAAUUAGUAAUGGGGUACUAAGUGUAAGUAUGUUUACCUUUGUGUAGGGCAAUUAGAAGAUGGAGGUCAUCUAAAGGUGGAGUAGUAAAGGAGUGUGUGGCCUAAUCUAGUACCAGAGUGGAGACAAUUGAGGGUAUAUCUUGUAUUAGAUCUUGUGAAGAUGACAUGAAUAGUGACACCAUAUGAGUGUCCUUGAUAAAAAGUAAUAUGAGGUUGUGAAGUACGAUUGGAAGAGAGUGGUGGAAAACCUAGAGGUGGAGAAGAAGACACUUGAGAAAGAGUAGUAUGAGAAGAAAAGAAGGGUCUGUCCUAAUGGAAAGUGAUAUCAAUUGAAGUGAUACAAUGAUGAGUAUCAAGGAAGUAUACACGAUAGCUUUUUUACGUAUGCAAGUAGUCAAUGACGACCCUCUUAAGGGCACGAGGAGUAUGAAAACAGAUAAAGUGUGAUCAUUGACGAAUGUUAGAUAGCCAAAUAUACGAGAAAAAAAAGCCAAAGAGAGUUGCCUUGGGGUAGAGAUGUUAGAGGGGAAUAUCUUCAUUUAGGGGGGAGGAAGGUAGACGGUUGUGUAGGUAGGUGGCCAUCAUGAGAGUAUUAUUGUACUAGAGAUAGUGAGGGACAUGCAUCUCAUUGAAAAGUAUGUGAGUAAUGUCUAGUAGGUGGUGAUGUUUCUAUUCUACAACACCAUUUUGUUGAGAGGUGUAAGGGCACCUGGUCUAGUGUAUAAUAUUACGAUCAACACAAAAGGUAGAGAGAACAAGUUGAACUAACUCCAGGGCAUUGUUAGUAUGAAGAAUCUUAGGGGUAAUAGAGUGUUGUAUCAUAAUCUUGAUGAUGAAUUAUAUGACAAUGUUAGGGACAUGAGAAUAAUUUUUCAUGAGAUAUAGCCAACAAAGAUCACAUAGUAGAGGUGGCAUAAGAGAGAAUUAACCUAAGAUAGGCACCAAACAUUACAAUGAACAAGGUCAAACUAGUGAGAGGACAAGAUUAUGUUGUGAGGAGAGUAGGUGGAGUGAUGAUGUUUGCUUAAUUGGCAUGACUCACACAUAAACUUAGAGAGAGAAAGGCAUAGUAAUGAUUUUUGAAGUUUUGAAAAAUAAGAAUGUCCUGAACAAUGAUGCCACAAAAUAGAUAAAAAAAAGUAGAAUGAGCAAACAAGAUAAGAAGACCCAAGGAUAGUGUCUUGGGGACAAGCUCAUAGAUGUCACUACCAUUCUCAUACUUCAAAUCAAUCCAUUGUCUUAUAUGUAGAUCUUGAAAAAUACAAAGAAAGAGAAAAAAUAUAAUAACACAAUUAAGUGUACAUGUGAUGGCACUAAUGGACAAGAGGUUAGUGGGAAAAUUAGGUACAUGAAGGACAUCAUGGAGGGGUAGGGAGGGUAUAUGUGUGGUCAAUCUAUGACCCUUAAUGGACAUAAAUGACUAUUAGCAAUGGAGAUAGGAGGAUAGGUAGAUGUAGGUUAAAUGAAGAUGGGGACAAAUAGUGUACCCAUCAUAUGGGCAAAUUCCCCCAAGUCGAUAAUCUAAGACAAUUUAGAAGUAAUAAGGACAUAUACUUAAAGUAGAGGUAAGACUGGCCAAUGUGAUAGUGUAGGACAAAAUAUCAUAUGUUUGCUUUCAUGUCUCAUAUUUGGCGAGAGAGAAUGACACCUAGAUUGUUAGAAUAGUAGGUGUCGGUGGAGGAACUAUAGAUGUAAUAGGAGUGGCUAUACGAGAGUAGGCAAUAGAUAUCAAGGCUUGUGUCCAUUUGGGUUUCCCAAAUUCUUUUCAACACUUGUUAGAAGGAUAGCUGGUCUUGACAUAGUAGGUACAUGGGGGAAAUCCAUUCUUAACCUUAGUAGAACUCUUGCCCUUAUUAUAAUUCUUGGGGCCAUGGCCACCAUGUGAUCCUAAUGCUACUGUUACUAGGGCCAAAGGAUAUGGUAGAGCAAAUGAGACAAAUGACAUAAGAAUGCUUAGGGGUACACCAAUAAUAACUCAAAAUGUUAAAGAGAAAAUGGAGGCAAUCGACAAUAUAUGACUACUAGAAAGUACUUGACGAUAAAUCUAGAAGGCAAUGGAUGGGUGAAAGCCAUUGAGAUAGGCAUCGACAAAUAGUUAUUAAUGAUAAUGCUCCAAGUGCAUAAAUCAGUUGUGGAGGGCUAGCGGACCAAUAACUUCUAGAUGAUGUUUUAGAGUUUGCCAAAAUACUCCUAAAGAGUUUGAUUGCCUUGCUUGCAUGCAAAAAAAGCUUCAUAAAGUUUGAUUGUGCGGUUGAUAUUGGUCUUAUUAAUAUACAUCAUCUCAAGUGUCUGCCAAAGGGCGCAUAGGAACUUGAUGUGAUCAAGAGGUUGAGCAAUACUUGGAAUAAUGUUUCAACACAUCUAUAUAAGAACUGUCAAGUCAAGUUGUGACCACAACACAUAAGUACAUGUCGUGGCUACCGGAGGUGAUGUUAGAUAAUGUAACAAAUUAUGAGCUUGAAAAAAAUUUUCAAAGCUAUAUAUGCCCACGAUCAAUAAUUGAAAUUGUCAAACACAUAUGCCAGCCAAGUUAGUGGGGCAAUAAUAGAGUGAUGGGUCGAUAGUAUUGGAUCAACUACAAGACAAACAAAGGGACUAGAAGAGGGAGAACUAGAAGUAACAAUUCGUCGAUAGAAUCUACCAUCAGGUUGGGGCACGUAAGAGAGCAACAAUCAAAAGAUCAGGACACUAAUAGAUGAGGGCCAGCUAAGGCUGUUAGGGUAGGGCACUAAGGUGGCCUAGGUAGCCACAUGAGUAGCUUGGGCCUAAAAUAAUUUGGACAGUAGCUUGGACUUGGAAUGGCCCAAGUGAAUGCCAAUACUAGAGCAACAAUUUUAGUAGUCAAAGAAGACGGUGGCUAUGGAGGCAAUGAGGGAAAUGAUGGUGGCGACGAUGAUAGUGGCAACAAAUUAGGAGGGAACCCUAGGACGAGCCAGUACACAAUAAGGUGGGGGGGCAGUCUCAUGGCUCUAGUGCCAUGUGGAAUGAAAAACCUUUAAUCCUGAGAUUACAAGAGCUUAUAUAAAGGAGAGAAGAAGAUGGGUCAUUGUUGGGCCAUACUCUUAUAGUACAUACCAAAACUCAAUAGUAAAAAUAUAUUUAAAUAAUAAUAGUCAAAGAGUCAAGUAGGUAUUUGUGGGUUGUUAUAAAAAGAAGGUCAUAAAGGUUAAGAACAUAUCUUUUCUAAGUCUAGAACCAGCUUAGAAGAUGUCAAGUUGGGACAUGUCUAUUUCUCUUUUUGAACUUGAUUUACAUACUAGGACUGAAUUAAGGCCAAAUUUGAAAUGAUUCUAGAUGACUUUUCCCCUCACCUAGUGCAUGUCUACAAGGGUCAAGAAGUCAAGAUGGAGAUUGAACUGAAGGUGAAGAGGAGGAGAUCCCCUCUUUCUCUCUCUCUCUCUCUCUCUCUCUCCCUCUCUCUCUCUCUCUCUCUCUCUCUCUCUCUCUCUCUCUCNNNNNNNNNNNNNNNNNNNNNNNNNNNNNNNNNNNNNNNNNNNNNNNNNNNNNNNNNNNNNNNNNNNNNNNNNNNNNNNNNNNNNNNNNNNNNNNNNNNNNNNNNNNNNNNNNNNNNNNNNNNNNNNNNNNNNNNNNNNNNNNNNNNNNNNNNNNNNNNNNNNNNNNNNNNNNNNNNNNNNNNNNNNNNNNNNNNNNNNNNNNNNNNNNNNNNNNNNNNNNNNNNCUCUCUCUCUCUCUCUCUCUCUCUCUCUCUCUCUCUCUCUCUCUCUCUCUCUCUCUCUCUCUCUCUCUCUCUCUCUCUCUCUCUCUCUCUCUCUCUCUCUCUCUCUCUCUCUCUCUCUCCUCUCUCUCUCUCUUGCUCUCUCUUCCCACCAACUUCAAUGGGGUUUUCUACUACUACCACAAGGCUUUUGUUCCACCACCAGGGCAAGAUACUCGCUCACUAUGUGUCCUCUUUUACUGCCACAAGCUCCUCUACCGUUGUUGCAUGCUUUCUUCCAUUGCCACUACAGAAUCCUCCUCGCCAUGCAUCCUCUUCUGCCACCACAGGCUCCUCCACCACCAUUGCAUGUUUUCUUCUCCUACCAUUGCAGAAUCCUCCCUUGUUGCGCAUCCUCUUCUGUUGCCACAAACUCCUCUAUUGCUACUACAUACUUUCUUCCACUGCCAUCGCAUAAUCCUCUCUCACUGUACUCCCUCUUUUGUUACUACAUGCUCCUUUGAGACCACUACAUGUUUUCUUUUGUGCCCACCACAAAAUCCUCUCUAGCCGUGAGUUCUCUUCCAUUACCACAAGCUCCUCUACUACCGGUACAUGCUUCUCUUCUGCCAACAAUGUAGAAUCCUAGCUAGUUCUGUGUCCUCUUAUGGCACAUGUUCCUCCUGCCACAAGUUAUUUGAUGUUUUUGUAUUUUUAAAUAUAACACAAUUAUAUAAUUAAAUGAUUUUAUUUAUCUUAAUUUGUAAUAUUAUAAUUAACUGUUAUGAUUUAAAAGUUAGUUAUAUUAUAGAUAAAUUAUAACAUAUAUAUAUAUCUUUAAAUGUAGAUAGGUCAUAGGUCUGAACUUAGUUCUAAGUUUAGGUCACAACUAAAAACUUAAUUGAGACUAUGACCAUUGAUCUCUAGUUAUAGCUGAAAACUUGGGCACAAAUAAAUAAUUUUGAUCUUAGAGGGGGGUAUAAUGUUAAAACACUAUGCUGCGGACUUCUCCUGGGAUCAUUAAUGGUCUAUGCCCACAGAACAUGUCCGAGGGUGACACCCUGCCUAAGUCAUGGGCCUGGGGUCCAGUACAGAGCCCAAGUGUCUGUGCAAAGCUAUUUGGAUCCGAUAUCGCGGAGCGGAUCUGCAACGGACCAAGAAGAUACACGGAGGGGAAGAUCCGGCGGAUAAAGUGACCGUUGUGGGCCGGAAAACCGCUCGACGCACGUUCUCCCGUUAUGGGCCAGAAAGAAGGUGGCGUGGGGGGUUUUUCCAGGCGGCCCAGAUCGUGGGUGGGCUGUUCCGACCUUCAGGGGGUGCACGAGAGUCUUUGCGUUGACCAUCACCAUUUCCGCGUAAUCUUGGAGAAGAAAGGUAGCUAGUGCUGGCGACGGGGGCCAAGGCCAGUCCGGGAACGAAUCCAGGUGAGUUCGAUCCUUGACCCGUGAUACAAGGCACAGGCCCACUCCUCCGGCCCCAUGCUUACCAAAAGAAGUGGUGGACAGGUGACUCGGCAGAUACGUCCAUAUUUCAGCCGACUGCGCUCAAAUUCCGAACGGCCACAGUCGCUGUGAUAGCCGCUAUACUUUCUCCAUGGUAGAAAUUUUGACGGUCAAGUCAAUGUCGGACCGUGUGGUCGCCGUCGUCCUUCUUCGGAAGCAUCACCAGAGCUAGCAUCGCCGCGUACUAAAGUGGCGCAGACGGAGAACUUGUUUUCUUGUCUAACUGGUUCAACUCACGGCAUCGCAGACCUUGCAGGAGUGAGUUCCGUGGUGGCCCUAACCCACCUCCUCGGAGCUUAUCCCUGAGCCAUGCCGCUGGGCACGCCCGCCGCCUCUUUGCUCCUCCUGCUCACCUUUGUCCUCAUGGCUGGAGCGGAGACGGUGACCACCUAUUUCGACUUCCCUACGUUUGGCUCUAGCCGCGACAUCACCUUCCUGGGCAACGCCUCAUCCACCAACGGCUCUCUAGAGCUCAACGAAGACGGCAGCUACAGCUACGGCCGAGCCUUCUACUCGAACCCGGUCCGUCUCUGGGACAACAAAACGGGGAAUCUGGCAAGCUUGAUCACAAACUUCUCCUUCUCGGUGAUCCAGAGUCCGAACAGUACAUAUCACGGUGAUGGAUUAGUCUUCUUCCUCGCCCCCAUCGGCUACCCUGUACUGCAGAACAGAUUGGGUGGCCUAUUCACGCUCUUCAAUAGUAGUGACGAAUUGGUCAUGUCCCCCGUGGUAGCCGUCGAGUUCGAUACCUACUCAAACGAUUGGGAUACGGAGGUCGCCCAUGUGGGAAUCGACGUCGGCCACAUCGACUCCGUCAAAAGCUUGUCUUGGGAGUCGUUCGACUUCCCGACCAUCGACGCAGUGAUCUCCUACGACGCCGGCACCACGGAGCUGAGAGCCUCCUUUUCCGACGGCAACGGCUACAACAAGACCUUAUUUUACGUCGUCGACCUGAGAAAGGAGCUCCCCGAAACUGUGAACAUCGGCUUCGCGGGUGCCACUGGCAGAUACUUCGAACGCCAUGUGAUACAUUCCUGGAGCUUCAACUCAAGCCUGGAUGUUGUCGACCGUAACGGCAACACUACGAACGGCGGCGACACCGGAGGGGGCACCAUCACGGCUCCACCGGUCCCCCCUCCGAACAAGAAGAAAAGCAGCAUCGGUCUACUGGCUGGUGUGCUAGCCGGCGCGGGAACCUUGGCAAUCGCAGCGGGUUUGGCACUCGUCUUCGUCUGGCGAAGAAGGGCACAUGCGAAGAAUGGAGGACAGGACGGCGUCAUCAACGACAGCGAAUUUGACGAAGGCAAGGGGCCCAAGAGCUUCUCUUAUUCGGAACUCGCCCGGGCAACAAGCAACUUUGCGCCAGAACAAAAGCUAGGAAGAGGAGGAUUCGGAGACGUUUACAGAGGAACCUUAACCCGGCCGAAAAUGGUGGUGGCCAUCAAGAGAGUCGCAAAAGACUCGAGGCAGGGAAAGAAGGAGUAUGUCGCCGAGGUGAAGGUCAUCAGCCGCGUGCGCCAACGCAACCUCGUGCAGCUCGUGGGGUGGUGCCACGAGAAGGGGGACCUGCUUCUCGUCUAUGAGUACAUGCCCAACGGCAGCCUCGACGCCCACCUCUACGGCGGUGGCAAUCCGCUGCCGUGGCCGACGCGGUACAGCAUCGCCCGGGGUGUCGCGGCGGCGUUGCUUUACCUCCACGACGAGUCGGACAAGUGCGUGGUCCACAGGGACGUCAAGUCGAGCAACGUGAUGCUGGACGCCAAUUUCAACGCCAAGUUAGGGGAUUUCGGCCUUGCGAGGCUCGUGGACCACGGCGGCGGCAUGGAGACGACGGCCGUGGCUGGGACGAUGGGGUACCUGGCCCCGGAGACCGCGACGACGGGGAGGGCGAGCAAGGAGUCGGACGUCUACAGCUUCGGGGUGCUGGCCUUGGAGAUCGCCUGCGGGAGGAGACCCGUCGAUCACGGCAAUAAAGAGGGGCGGGUUAGUCUCGUUGAGUGGGUAUGGGAUCUCUACGGGAAGGGCGCCGUUGUGGAGGCGGCAGACGAGAGGCUGGGCUUGAACUUUGACCGGCAGGAGAUGGAGCGGCUGAUGGUGGCGGGCCUGUGCUGCGCGCACCCGGACCACCGGCAACGGCCGUCGAUGCGGCAGAUGAUCGGCAUUCUCCUCUUCGAGAUGCCGUUGCCUAAUCUUCCGACAGAGAUGCCGGAGAUAUCCUACGGAGCGUUUCCCGUUCCGGAGUUCAACAUGACCACCAUCAAGGAGUUGUCGUCUACGUCGGCAACCUCCGCCAGAUUCGCCACCGGCGCCUCCGUCGAUUGAGCGGGGUCCGCCGGGUACAAACCAGCCCUUUAUCCGCUCGACAGGUGAAUCAGUCGAAUUCAACGCUUUCGUUUUGUUCAUCCUUCUCUCAGGAGCUAAGUACAGCGAGAGUGCCAGAUGUAUCUUCUGUGUUCUUCCUGUAAUAAUCCCUGUAACGAAGGUUUCGAUCCUUGGAUCUUAGCUCCUUUGUCCGCGUCAGUUGACUGUGGGUUAUCGCUUGACUCAUGACCAUGAUGCAUCCCGGCAUUUCCGUGAGGAUCCAGAAAUGGAUCAGAUGGGAGGAAAGGAUAGGUUCGGCCUCGGACCUUUGUCCAUCGCCUUCCUCCUACCGGGGCGUGUCGUCACCCAGCCCACGACGACCAUUCCCCGAAGCUCAGGCGUCGGUUCACAUCUCUUGUCUGCUCUGUUUCAGUAGUCCUCGGUGACUUCUUCCCCCGUUCCCACCUUCCACUCGGACGCGGACGAGAUCCGCAGAAUCAGCUUGGACAUGAGAUCGAUUCAGCCCGUCUGAGUUUAUUUCUCUUUUAGAUGUUUUUUUACGUGGGUACGACUCCCUUACUCUCCCGUCGGCCUAACAGAACUUAAAUAUCUAAUUCGUCACAACGACAAAGGGUUAGCAUACGCCAUGACUGGGGCCGCGCAUCUACCCAUAUUCCACGGAGAGGACCGGUCCUCCCUCCGGGGCUCCCUUUAUUUUUCGUCUCUUGGAUCCCUCGCUGACCCAUCACGCCGGUGGAUCGUCUUCCUAGCCCCGAGUUUCUUAGUCGUUUAUCUCUUGUACUGGGACGAGGCCGCCGGGUCGCCGGGCCGCCGGUUGGAUGGAAACGGAUGGAGCUCGUGGGAACCGGCUUCUGAGCCAGUCGGUAAAGAGGGGUGGUGGCACCGGUUAGACCGAAACUGCAUCUCAUGCACCUCGCCUUUUAUGCCGCGGAGGAAGAUGAAGGAACCAAAACCGAAACAUCCAGGCGAUAAGAGGGCGAAUAAGAAAGUCAGGAGGCUCUUCUCACCGCCGCAUCAGAUGCCUCAAGCGAGAGCUUUUCCGCAAACUCGUAUCCCCUCUUUCUUUCGUUUGGCCUACGUGACUGUGUAAGCAAAGAAAGCCAAUGAAGGCUUACGAAUGUCGGAAGGAGUUGACCCCACACGGUAGGUGUUUUCCGAUCGACGAUGCGGUGUGUACGGCGGUGGGCACGCACCCCCCAGCCUUCGCGGGAAAAUGCCGAGCUUCCCCCCGCCGGGGGCCCUCCCAUGCAGCUCCAGUUUUCCCCCACCUCCUGCGUCCCUCUCAAUAAUCCCCUCCACACCUGUCUCUCUCGGCGAUAUUUCGUCAUUCAUAAACUACAUAAAAAAAAGCUUCUUUUUUUUGUCAUUCGCUCCCUAUGGGUGAUAAGAUUAUUUUGGCUACCGGGAGUUUGGCCAGUGCAGUCGCAGGACGCGCAAUGACCGUAAGGGUCAUUGGACGCGCGAUGACCAUAAAGGUCACCGGACGCAUGAUGCCGGAAAUGGCUACAAUGCCGUCUGCGGUCACGAGAUGUGACACUGCCGCCAGCAAUGGCGAUAAUGGGCCGUAAUGGGCCAUGAGCCGCAAUGGGCCAUGCACCGUCUACGGCAUCAGGAUAACCCCAUGACAUGAUCCACCACCGCCAGCAAUGGCGAUGAGGGGUGGAGCACUACGAUUGGCAUGUGAAGCCACCUAGAUGGCAGGAGGGCUGAGGUGGAAGCCACCAUCUUCACGGUAGCCAGCCACCACUUGAAUGGUUGGAGUGCCGCCAUUAUGGCGAGCAACUUCUCUCCUGAAGGGCCAUUUUAGGGCACUCAAUUACAACUACGGUAAUUGCAUGGGAUGGCCACACCUCGUCGCUUGUGACGGCCCAUGCUUCACCUUCUAUUACGGCUCACGCCUCAUAUUUUUGAUGGCCCACGUCUCAUGGCACAUGAUGGCUUAGGCCUUAUUAUCUGUCAACUUGAAUGAUUGUCCUAAGAAUGAGAUAGAAAAAGAACAAAUGGAUGACAUCCCAUAUGCCUCAGUUGUUGAGAGCUUAUGUAUAAACAUGUACCUAUCCAGAUGUCACAUAUGUUGUUGGGAUACUUGGUAGAUAUCAAAAUAACAUAGGCCUAUAACAUUAGAAGGUUACAAAAAAAAGUUAUACAUUAUUUACAAGGCACUAAGGAUCACUUGCUCACUUAUAAAAGAUCAGAUCAUCUUGAGGUCAUUGGCUAUUGAGAUAUAAAUAUUGGAGGCUAUCUUGAUAGUAAAAAAUUUACUUUAAGUUUCAUUUUUCUACUAAGAUGUCGAGUCAUUUCAUAUGAGUAUAAAACAAACCACUAUAGCUUCUUAUGUUAUGGAAGUUAAAUUUGUUACCUUCUAUGAGACCUCAUCAUAGGCAAUAUAGAUAAAAAAAUUUUAUCACAAGUCUUAAAAUGAUGGAUUCAAUUCAAAAACCACUUAAGAUCUAUUGUGAUAAUGAAGUUGAUGUUUCUUUCUUUAACAACAACAAAAGUUUCACUUCAUGUAGGCACAUGGAAAUAAAUUAUUUUGUUGUUAAAGAAAUAAUAGAUAUUCAUUUGGUGUCUACUACUCAUAUUGGUAUACAUGACAUAUUAGUAGACCCACUUACUAAAGGAUUGACGCCUAUAUUAUAUUUCAAACAUGUAAGGAACAUGGGUCUAUCCUUUAAUGUCUUAUUUUGAUAGAUCUUACAAAAGUAAUGUUUUAUUUUGAGACAUCAAGUAUUUGUGAACAUAUUUUGGUAAAUAUUAUGAUUCUUUGGGUUCUACUUUCUAUAUCAAGUAUUUAUAAAUAAAUUAAGUAAAUAAAGAGUUAUAUUUUACCAAGGGAAUAAGAAUGUGGUUAACUUAUUCAUAAAAGUCGUUGUCAUAUAAAGUAUUGGUAAUUAAAGAAUAUUGACAUAGUAAUAUAGAGAAGAUAACAUACACUCAAGUUUAUCUAUCGCUAUGACUCAUGUCUCUAUUUAAUCAUGACAAAGUAUAAAAUUACCCACAUAAAAAUGAGAUUAGUUGUGGUACCAUGUCAAAACUUAAUCUAAUAUCUUUUGUGUCUUGUAUUCUAUAUGUCUAUUAUCUUGUAGAAUAAUGAUUAUGGUAUAAUAGGCCAAGUGAGAGAAUGUUGGCCCAUAAGUGGCCCAUUAGCAUAAUAACUACUCAUAAUAACCACUCCUAUAACUACCUAUUGGCUACCCUCAUUUGGGAAACAACACACACCCUAUAUUUAAGAAGAAUCCUUAUUUCAGGAGAUGAGGAAGACACACAGCUCUCUCUCUCUUCUCUCUUCUCCUCAUUCUAUUUGAUGAGAACAUAACCUUUAGUGCUCUAAGAGCUUAGUACUCUUCUCCUUAGUACAUUAGUCUGUCAUCAAGUAGCAUCCUACAGAGAAGGGAUAUCAAAGUGUCUAUCUAUUUGGGAAGACAAAUAUAUCCUUUCUCUUACACUACAAUUUCCUGUGAACACUUGAUACACAAUGUCUUCAUUAGGUGAGUAACCCAUCAUAUAAAAUAGAAUAAUAAUUAUUAUUAAUAUAAUGUUGUUAUUCCAAUAUGGUGGCCAUUUCACUCUCUUCCCAAAGAACAACAAAAGCUAGUCGGGUAAGGCCUUUGGUAGCUGUCAAGUUCAACGCCCACAAAAACGCAUAGGAUAUGAAGGACGCCCCCCAUGUAGGGAUCGACGUCGGCUACAUAACGUCCGCAAUAAUCUCGGAUUGUGGGUCGAUCUCCGGCCAGAACAGAACCACGAUCGACGUAGUGAUCACCUACGAUGCUGGCACCACCAUGCUUAAAGCCUACUUCUCGAACAUGAAUGGCACGGACCAGAGCUUGGCUUACUACGUUAACCUGAGCGAGGAGCUUCCCGAGAAGGUUAACAUCGGCUUCGCGGGCGCCACUGGUGCAUACUUUGGACGCCAUGUGAUACAUUCCUGGAGCUUCAACUCAAGCCUGGAUGUUGCCGUCCGUAACGGUAACACCACAAACGGCGGCGAUGCCGGUGGGACUAAGAAGAAAAGCAACAUCGGCCUACUGGCUGGUGUGCUAGCCGGCGCGGGAACCUUGGCAAUCGCAGCGGGUUUGGCACUCUUCUUCGUCUGGCGAAGAAGGGCACAUGCGAAGAAUGGAGGACAGGACGGCGUCAUCAACGACAGCGAACUUGACGAAGGGAAGGGGCCCAAGAGCUUCUCUUAUUCGGAACUCACCCGGGCAACCACCAACUUUGCGCCAGAACAAAAGCUAGGAAGAGGAGGAUUCGGAGACGUUUACAGAGGAACCUUAACCCGGCCGAAAAUGGUGGUGGCCAUCAAAAGAGUGGCAAAAGACUCGAGGCAGGGGAAGGAGUAUAUCGCCGAGGUGAAGGUCAUCAGCCGCGUGCGCCAACGCAACCUCGUGCAGCUUGUGGGGUGGUGCCACGAGACGGGGGAGCUGCUUCUCGUCUAUGAGUACAUGCCCAACGGCAGCCCCGACGCCCACCUCUACGGCAGUGGCAGUCCUUUGUCUUGGCCGACAAGGUACAGCAUUGCCUGGGGGUUUGCGGCGGCACUGCUGUACCUCCACCAGGAGUCGAAGCAGUGCGUGGUCCACAGGGACGUCAAGUCGAGCAACGUGAUGCUGGACGUCAAUUUCAACGCCAAGUUAGGGGAUUUCGGCCUUGCGAGGCUCGUGGACCACGGCGGCGGCAUGGAGACGACGGCCGUGGCUGGGACGAUGGGGUACCUGGCGCCAGAGACCGCGACGACGGGGAGGGCGAGCAAGGAGUCGGACGUCUACAGCUUCGGGGAGGAGACCCAUCGAUCACGGCAAUAAAGAGGGGCGGGUUAGUCUCGUUGACUGAGUUUGGGAUCUCUACGGGAAGGGCGCCGUUGUGGAGGGGGCGGACGAGAAGCUGGGCUUGGACUUCAACCGGCAGGAGAUGGAGCGGCUGAUGGUGGCGGGGCUGUGCUGCGCCCACCCAGACCACCGGCAACGGCCGUCGAUGCGGCAGGUGAUUGGCAUUCUUCUUUCUGAAAUGCCAUUGCCUAAUCUUCCGGUCCAGAUGCCGGAGCCGUCCUACGGAGGGGUUUCCGUUUCUAGGUCCAACCUGGCCAGCAUCAACUGGUGGUCGUCGUCUACUUCGACGACCCCCAGCGGAUUCACCACCGGCACCUCCAUCGAUUCAGCUUGCUCCACUGGCAGCAAACCACUUCCGUAUCCGCCCGUCAGGUAAAGCCGUCGAAUUCAACGUUUUCGUUUUAUUCUUCGAUUUACUCUUGGCUUGUCUUUUCAGCCGGUCGUCGCAUUAACCGGUCCAACGACUGGGUUGACCAUCUCUCAUCAAAACGGCCGUCGACCGACAGAUCUCAGUGCACGCUCCAACUCGCCCUUUAACAACCACUCGGUCCUUCGAGGUGUUAAUAAGUAGAACCUCUUCUUCUCUAUUUGAGUGUCCUAUUUGACAGUUGUGAAGAGAAGUUCAAGGUAGAUAUCUAAGGGUCUAAUCGGAGUUUUGAAGGCCAUGGUUAGAUAACUAUUUUCUCAGUUCUUGAUGAGAAUUUUCUUGUGAUCUUAUCAUAUCUAACUAAAGCUUUCGUCAUUGUUAUUCGUAGACAAAAGAAGCAGUCUAUGGAACCAUGUUAAAGUGUUUUAUGCUUGUACCCUAUUAUGAGUUGAUCACCCUUCCUUUUCGAUACUUCACAUCGUGUAGAUUGCAUAAACAAUAUUUUGCUAGUACUCUACUAUGAGUUUUGUUCACCUAUUUUGUUUGCUUUAUUUCAUUAGUCCUAGGUGAGUUCAUGACUCCUCCACACCUUUCACUAGAACAUGGACCAGAUCUGCAGAAUCGACUAAGAGAGGAGAUCAAUUCAACCUAUCUAAGUUGAUCUUUUCUUUCAUAUCAGCUUUUAGGUGGCUGUGACUCCCAACUCUCUCUAGUGUAAAAGGAUUCCUCUCGUUUACCCUUAAAAUUCACAGGCAACACUACUGUGGAUUUGAGUUUGGCAAGAGGUGAACUCAAUGAGCUCCAAAAGAGUAAAAGGAAAAUAUGCUGUAAGUAGGGAGAAAGUACAUCCAGAUAUGAAGGAGAAGAGGGCUGGAACAGAGGAUGGACGGGAGUUUGUGGAACAAAAUAAGCCCUCAAAAUUAAAUGUCUUGAGUUGUUUACAACCAAAUAGAGAGGGUUUUAUGUGAAAGUAGACAACUUAAUUCAAAACUGAUUAAAAACAAAAAAAGAAGUAAGGAACGGAGCAAAAGAAGUAGACAACUUCUCCAUGCUCAUCAUGUUGAUAGACUCCUAAGUACCCAAGUCCCUUGUCGCUAGAAACGGAGCAAAAGAAAGGAACGGAUUGCCCGAGCAGAAGACCAGCGCCCAACAUGAGUAAGUUUUGGGCCAGAAAUGAUGGGCCCAGAUAGAGGGCUUGGGCUGGUUAAGGCCCGACCAGCCAACAGCCAACUGUCACAGCGACAGUUUAAAUACUAGAGGAAGAGAUCAAGCGGGAGGAGAGAAAAAUCAAGAUUCUUCUACCCCAUCUACCUCUGCAUUUCACUCUCUGUCUCAGUCUCUCUCUCUCUCUCUCUCUCUCUCUCUAUCUCGCUCUCUAUCUCCUCUCUCUUUCUUUCGUCAUGAUCUCUGCUAGAUCUGCUGUUCAUCAACAUCCCUGCUGCCUGAUUCUUAACCCCCUUCUGCAUUGUCUUUCCGGAGUUCGGAAAUGAUUGCUCUCGAGAGCAGGAACUAGUAAUUCUGGUAUUUCAAGAAAUUGAGAAAGGUGAUUGCGUACGUAAUACUUCUUCUUGUUCUCUGAAAUUCUUGUGUCUAAAAUGUUACUAUCUUAUUUUGAGUGAAUUUCUUGAUAUCCUUCUGUUCUAUCUUUGAAUCAUUGAUUGAACUUCAACCGUUCCUUCCAAAUUUAUAUUGAUUCUGAGGAAUAUAAAAAAAGGAGAUCCUAUCACGUCUUAUAGGCAAGUUUGCAUCAAUUUCAUUUAUAUCAUGUCCAUAGUAUUGGAAAGGCAGCAGCUGGAUGGCGGGCAGCGGUGGAAAUAGUCGGACGGAAGAAGUGGUGGCAGAUGGAUAUUGGCCCUCAGGACCUCUCCUUCGGAGCGAAGAUGGUUGACCCUCACGGCCUCUCCCUCAUGGAGCAAAGACAGGUAAUUCCUCAGAAUAAUCAUUUAUCUGGAGAUGGUCGCAAGACCUCGCCGCUCCCAAUUAGAAGCUCUACCUUUGUCUCUAUCUGGUCGUUGUCGCCAUCUGUCGUCGCCUCCACCACUGCCUUCGCUGCCACCGCCAUCUUCCUCGUCUUCUGCCGUCGCCUUCUUCCUCGUCGUCCACUACCAUAGGGGCACGAGACAACUCUCUCUAAGGAACUCGGCAAAAAUAGCCCCCUAACUUCGGGAGAAGGGGUGCCUACUCACAAAGGGGUUUGCAGUGACCAGGCCUGGGCGACUGCCGCCACUAUUUUGUAUAUGUCCGCUUCGGCCUCCGACACUCUUGGUCCGCCACUAUCUCCACCUUCAUUGCCGUCGCCUCCAUCCCGUCGCCGACCACCUCAUCGCCGCCGCCGGCUGUCCAAGAUCAACCCCAUUCUGUCGUCGCCGCCACCAUCCCUUCCCGCUUCUUCCACUGCCAUUGUCGCCCUUCCCAACCUUUGUUCCUCUGGUGAUCUGUUCCGCCUGUUUCUUUCCCAAUUAGGGCUUAAAGGCCCCGAUUCGUGGGUCCCAAUCUACUGGUUGAACACAUUCGGUGAUCCCGACCAGGCCACCCUCCGAUGCGAGCCCCAUUGGUCUGAACGAACCCGCCACAGGUUCGAGCCAACGUGGACAAUUGGGUCCACGUCGUUCUCUCGCGCCAGGCCGAGCCAUUCUGACCAUCCGGUCCACGUCGGGCAUCCCGUCCAGCUGGAGUCAAGACUCAAUCAAAUUUCUACGACAUAGUGAACGAUCAAUUAUUUAGGCAAGGGUCAACAGCGUGGGCAAAAAGUCAACUAUUAAUAUUCUGCAACCAAUAGUCUCUCUUCUCAGUCCUUUCCAAGGUAAGUAGUUCUCACACAUCAUAUAUCUCUGCUCAUUUAAUAUAUUUUUAUUGCGAUUGUCCGAGGGUGACUAUAGUAUAACCAUAUGUUUCUGAGUUUAAUGAGCAUAGUAUAACGACUCGUGACUUUUCUGAGCUACCCGAUCACGGCUGUCUUUGUCGAAAUACGGCCAUCAUGAGGGCCCUCGGCCGUCAACCCUGUGCGAAGUAAUAUACACGUCACACCUCAGCUUUCCUCCUGGCCGUGGACAGCGUAGAUGUCAACGCGGACAGGCCACAUGCGUUGAAUGCAACUAAACGUGUUCAAAUCAAGUCCCCCGGGUACCCCGUCAAUCUUCAUUUCUGUAAAGAUUUCGAGGAUCUUACCGUGGAAAAAGUAGAAGCUCAACGAACUAUCCCCCACCGCAAGAAGCGGUUCCUAGUGGCCACCGCAGGGUUGGUUGAUGAUCCUCGCCGUCCUGCGGGGAAAAGACCUCGCGACUUAACUCAACCCGAAGAAUCGGACCCCUGGUCCUCCUCGAGGACGAUGGAAGCUUCGUGUGGCGGAUCCGGGAGGUCAACGUCGGGCUGGAUGGUCGCCACCUCUCUUGAAAGCCUCACCGGAACACGCGUAGACCGAAGCGAUUAUCGCUCAUUAUUUAGGGGCGCCGCCACCCACUCGCCCAAUACGAGGAGCGCUCGAAUUUAAUAAACGAGCGGUUACUGUCACGAUAACAAGGCCGAGAACUUACAAAAUGUUUCAUAGCCAGAGUGCCGUGACGGCUUUCGCACCUUACAGCGGCCUUGUGGAGGCCCCAACCCACCUCCACGGAAAUCAUCCCUGAGCCAUGCCGCCCGGCGCCUCCAUCACCUCUUUGCUCCUCCUGCUCACCUUCAUCCUCAGGGCUGGAGGGGAGACGGUGACCACCUCCUUCGACUUCCCCAGGUUCGCGUCCAGCCCCGCAAACAUCACCUUUCAGGGCGAAGCCUCAUCCGCCAACGGAUCCCUAGAGCUCAACAAGGACGGCGAAUACAGCUACGGCCGAGCCAUCUACUCCAGCCCAGUCCGUCUCUGGGACAACAAAACCGGGAAUCUCGCGAGCUUCACAACAACUUUCUCCUUCUCCGUGAUCCGGCGUCCGAACGCGACGAAUUUUGCUGAUGGGUUAGCCUUCUUCCUCGCCCCCGUCGGUUAUCCUCUCUCGGAAAACACCACAGGGGGCGAACUCACCCUCUUCGACGGCUACUUCUCAACCCGACCGCCUAAGGUCCCCGUAGUAGCCGUCGAGUUCGACACCUUCCAAAACGAAUGGGAUAAGGAGGUCACCCAUGUGGGGAUCAACGUCGGCUACAUCGAGUCCGUCGAUAGCUUGCCUUGGUGGUCGCCCGAUGGCCAGACCCGUGCCACGAUCGACGCAGUGAUCACCUAUGACGCUGAUACCACCAGGUUGAGAGCCUCCUUCUCCGAGGUGAACGGCGACAACAGGAUCUUGCCUUACACCGUCGACCUGAGAAAGGAGCUUCCCGAGAGGGUGAACAUCGGCUUCGCAGGCGGCACAGGCCUAUACUUCGAACGCCAUGUGAUACACUCCUGGAGCUUCAAUUCGAGCCUGGAUGUUGCCAUCCGUAAUGGCAACACUACCAACGGAGGCGACGCGGGAGGGGGCAGCAUCAACGCUCCUCCGGACCCCCCUCCGAGCAAGAAGAAAAGCAGAAUCGGCCUACUGGCUGGUGUGCUAGCUGGCGCGGGAACCUUGGCAAUCGCAGCGGGUUUGGCACUGUUCUUCUUCCGGCGAAGAAGGGCAUAUGCCAAGAAUGGAGGACAGGACGACGUCAUCAACGACAGCGAACUUGACGAAGGGAAGGGACCUAAGAGCUUCUCGUAUUCGGAACUCGCCCGGGCAACCACCAACUUUGCGCCAGAACAAAAGCUAGGAAGAGGAGGAUUCGGAGACGUUUACAGAGGAACCUUAACCCAGCCGAAAAUGGUGGUGGCCAUCAAAAGAGUGGCAAAAGACUCGAGGCAGGGAAAGAAGGAGUAUGUCGCCGAGGUGAAGGUCAUCAGCCGCGUGCGCCACCGCAACCUCGUGCAGCUCGUGGGGUGGUGCCACGAGAAGGGGGAGCUGCUUCUCGUCUAUGAGUACAUGCCCAACGGCAGCCUCGACGCCCACCUCUACGGCGGCGGCAAUCCGCUGCCGUGGCCGACGAGGUACAGCAUCGCCCGGGGGGUCGCGGCGGCGCUGCUUUACCUCCACGAGGAGUCGGAGCAGUGCGUGGUGCACAGGGACGUCAAGUCGAGCAAUGUGAUGCUGGAUGCCAAUUUCAACGCCAAGUUAGGGGAUUUCGGCCUUGCGAGGCUCGUGGACCACGGCGGCGGCAUGGAGACGACGGCCGUGGCUGGGACGAUGGGGUACCUGGCGCCGGAGACCGCGACGACGGGGAGGGCGAGCAAGGAGUCGGACGUCUACAGCUUCGGGGUGCUGGCCUUGGAGAUCGCCUGCGGGAGGAGACCCAUCGAUCACGGCAAUAAAGAGGGACGAGUUAGUCUCGUCGACUGGGUGUGG
Molecule: long non-coding RNA, 33051 nt
Filed under: Spirodela polyrhiza (greater duckweed)
Lineage: Eukaryota; Viridiplantae; Streptophyta; Magnoliopsida; Alismatales; Araceae
Description: long non-coding RNA (SPOL_LNC002646)
Source: RNAcentral